CGGAACGUCGACCCAAUAGGGUGGGGGAUACGGCCCGGACGAAAGGCCGGAAUUUAAUACCCGCAUGAGACCUGGAGGGUAGAAAGGCGGGGGACUCGCAAGAGCCUCGCGCUGUUGGAGCGGCCGAUAUCAGAUUAGGUAGUUGGUGGGGUAAAGGCCUACCAAGCCGACGAUCUGUAGCUGGUCUGAGAGGACGACCAGCCACACUGGGACUGAGACACGGCCCAGACUCCUACGGGAGGCAGCAGUGGGGGAAUUUUUGGACAAUGGGCGCAAGCCUGAUCCAGCCAUGCCGCGUGCGGGAAGAAGGCCUUCGGGUUGUAAACCGCUUUUGUCAGGGAAGAAAUCCUUUGAGCUAAUACCUCGGAGGGAUGACGGUACCUGAAGAAUAAGCACCGGCUAACUACGUG
RNAcentral lists this ribosomal RNA (410 nucleotides) under uncultured bacterium. Its description in RNAcentral is "bacterial SSU rRNA". It matches the Rfam family "Bacterial small subunit ribosomal RNA", at positions 119 to 507 of the family's 1533-position model. The record is from RNAcentral.